RNAcentral lists this ribosomal RNA (282 nucleotides) under Triticum aestivum (bread wheat). Its description in RNAcentral is "partial small subunit ribosomal RNA". The record is from RNAcentral. Lineage: Eukaryota; Viridiplantae; Streptophyta; Magnoliopsida; Poales; Poaceae.
AUGGCUUCAGCACAAGGGACGUCUUAUCGCGGUUUUGACAUCAACUUACCAAAUCAGCUCGACAUGGAUGAUGAGCUUGCUGAUGUUGAUGUAAAUGACGAAGCUGAGGAGGGACUUAACGCAGCUAAGGCACCGCGAGCUCAAGUCAAUGCAGAAGGACAUCAGGUGGUGCAGGCCACCUCUAGUUCAAGUGGAAGUGGGAGCGGGAGCGGUAGCUGCACCAGUGGUAGUGACGGCUAUGAUGGCGAUUCACCCAGCUCCGGAGGGGAUGUUGAUAUAUGA